AAUUCGGUAAACGCUUGUCUAUCGUUUGCCACAGCUAAGAAGGCCGGUAACUGAUGAAAUUGUGCCCCUUGGGUGGCGUUUUUCGUUGGUCUUGGUAAGCUUAUUACCUCGUAUAGUGUGAAUCCAAAUGGGAACUCGAACACAGGUGUCUCCCGUUUGAAUAGAAGGGCUCAAAGACCAUCCAGAUGGCAAAAUUGCUUUUAUUUCCUUCAACACUGCUUGGAUUUGCAUAGGUGGGAAAAGUAGUGCUGGAAGUCUUUCCAUUGCCAUUGUUGCUAGGCCGACGGCAAAAUCUUCAAUCGAUUCGUCCAGCCAAGCCAAGGCUGACUUUAUUUCACGAAAGGUGUUUUCAAUGGCUGCUCUGGCUAUCUCAUGUUUUUCGACUUCUUGGCGUUUUGCAGUUCUUCAACGGCGUUUGACGUCGCCUUUGUUUCCCAAAGCGUCUCGUUGAUUAGUGAUGCGUGCACUUCCAACGCGUGAGCGAUGGAAGUGGUUUCUGUUGAUAACUUUUCAACAUGAUUGUUGACGUGUUCUAGAUCUUCUUCAGUGGACACUCCAAAGAGCCAAUUGAGAACUUUUCCUCCUCCGUCGAUUAGGCCUCUUUUCUUACGGGUUUUUUAAUUCUGCUCGUGCUCGUUCCUCGACCUCUUCUUUAAUACGUUUUUUAAACCCGUCGUUUGGACCUUCGUAUCGGAAGUUCAGAGUGUUGACCUUUCUUCCUAAUACAUCAUGUAGAGUUUUAAUGACGGU
Long non-coding RNA from Daphnia carinata, 750 nucleotides. RefSeq lists it as uncharacterized. Lineage: Eukaryota; Metazoa; Arthropoda; Branchiopoda; Diplostraca; Daphniidae. The record is from RefSeq and is a predicted model, not a curated record. The transcript has 4 exons.